Molecule: long non-coding RNA, 678 nt
Filed under: Anser brachyrhynchus (Pink-footed goose)
Lineage: Eukaryota; Metazoa; Chordata; Aves; Anseriformes; Anatidae
Description: lncRNA (ENSABRG00000022235.1)
Source: RNAcentral
UGGAUGCAGUGAGAUGCUUGGCUGGUUCCUGACUUUCAGGAUAAAUACACAAUGGGAUGAAACCGACCUUCUUCCAGAAUCUUUAGAUCAGCCCUAUUACGUUCGAUAGUCUGGCAUCAGCUCAUAACUGCGCUCAAGCAUCCUGCGAGUUCCCACCCAGCUAUACUUCCAGUUCCCACCCAGCUAUACUUCCAGAAGCUACAGACAGCAAUGGAGGCUCUCAUGGGAUGGGGAGAAUUUGGGGCCCAGGAGCUCACUAACUAAAGCGUCUGCAUUUAACUGUUAGUAGGCUUUGUGCAUUGGGAGUCCUUAACUGUCAAAAAAAAAAAUUUAAAAAGGAGAAGAAAUUCUGUUCAAAAGAUGGUUGCAUACAUCAAUGUCUGAUUUUUUUGGGGGGAUGCAAGUAAUCUAUCUUAAAGUAGUGAUGUCUAGGAAAGCAAAUACUGUUAUUAGGGAUAGUUUUAAGAGGUAGGGGUUGAAGUGUAGAUAAGAAUCUUGAAUUACAAGAUUCAGAUAUUUCUAAGCUCUUAGGGCUUCAGUUAAUAGGCUUAUGAAUAUUUAUUGAUAGCCUGAUAGAUAAAAUGAAAAUUUACUUGCUGCAUCAUGGACAAAUUCAAUUUGAAGGAUCUCCUCCUUGCAGUUUUCUGUUCGUGUGUACUAAAAUCAUCUCCCCCUCCA